GGGGGGUGCAAGCGUUGUUCGGAAUUAUUGGGCGUAAAGAGCGUGUAGGCGGUUUGUUAAGUCUGAUGUGAAAGCCCUGGGCUCAACCCAGGAAGUGCAUUGGAAACUGGCAGACUUGAAUACGGGAGAGGGCAGUGGAAUUCCUAGUGUAGGAGUGAAAUCCGUAGAUAUUAGGAGGAACACCGGUGGCGAAGGCGGCUGCCUGGACCGAUAUUGACGCUGAGACGCGAAAGCGUGGGUAGCAAACAGGAUUAGAUACCCUGGUAGUCCACGCCGUAAACGAUGAGAACUAGGUGUUGCGGGUAUUGACCCCUGCAGUGCCGCAGCUAACGCAUUAAGUUCUCCGCCUGGGAAGUACGGUCACAAGACUA
Molecule: ribosomal RNA, 371 nt
Filed under: uncultured bacterium
Lineage: Bacteria
Description: bacterial SSU rRNA
Rfam family: Bacterial small subunit ribosomal RNA
Source: RNAcentral